Molecule: ribosomal RNA, 253 nt
Filed under: uncultured bacterium
Lineage: Bacteria
Description: partial 16S ribosomal RNA
Rfam family: Bacterial small subunit ribosomal RNA
Source: RNAcentral
UACAGAGGGGGCAAGCGUUGUUCGGAAUUACUGGGCGUAAAGGGCGCGUAGGCGGCCUCUUAAGUCGAACGUGAAAUCCCCGGGCUCAACCCGGGAACUGCGUCCGAUACUGGGAGGCUUGAAUCCGGGAGAGGGAUGUGGAAUUCCAGGUGUAGCGGUGAAAUGCGUAGAGAUCGGGAGGAACACCAGUGGCGAAGGCGGCCUUCUGGACCAAUACUGACGCUCAUGCACGAAAGCGUGGGGAGCAAACAGG